AGUGAACGCUGGCGGUAGGCCUAACACAUGCAAGUCGAACGGCAGCACAGUAAGAGCUUGCUCUUACGGGUGGCGAGUGGCGGACGGGUGAGGAAUACAUCGGAAUCUACUUUUUCGUGGGGGAUAACGUAGGGAAACUUACGCUAAUACCGCAUACGACCUACGGGUGAAAGCAGGGGAUCUUCGGACCUUGCGCGAUUGAAUGAGCCGAUGUCGGAUUAGCUAGUUGGCGGGGUAAAGGCCCACCAAGGCGACGAUCCGUAGCUGGUCUGAGAGGAUGAGAAGCCACACUGGAACGGAGACACGGUCCAGACUCCUACGGGAGGCAGCAGUGGGGAAUAUUGGACAAUGGGCGCAAGCCUGAUCCAGCCAUACCGAGUGGGUGAAGAAGGCCUUCGGGUUGUAAAGCCCUUUUGUUGGGAAAGAAAAGCAGCAGGUUAAUACCCCGCUGUUCUGACGGUACCCAAAGAAUAAGCACCGGCUAACUUCGUG
Molecule: ribosomal RNA, 492 nt
Filed under: uncultured bacterium
Lineage: Bacteria
Description: partial 16S ribosomal RNA
Rfam family: Bacterial small subunit ribosomal RNA
Source: RNAcentral